This 1553-nucleotide long non-coding RNA is filed under the name Selaginella moellendorffii. RNAcentral's name for it is "long non-coding RNA (SMOE_LNC001594)". Lineage: Eukaryota; Viridiplantae; Streptophyta; Lycopodiopsida; Selaginellales; Selaginellaceae. The record is from RNAcentral.
ACGUAAUCGCAUUAAAUCCAAAGCCCAGUAAAAACGUUUUUCCCGUGAGACGAAUUCACGGAAUCACCUACCUGAAGUUUGGAAAGCUGGGAACACUUCAAUGUUCACUAAAAACUAUACUCGCUUCUGCUUUGCCUCUAACGUAACGCCCUCUUAACCAAAGCUGGAGUUAGCAGACCACACGUGGAGCAAUCCCAACUGUCGAUACCCGACAUCGGACGGACGCCGCGGAACCCGUGUCUUAUCGUCUGACAGUCAAAAGUACGUCCACGUGUACGCGUAUAGCUCAGUUACGGCCAUGUGGCAGAAUAUGAGGCGUUGGAUGGGGGCGCCCAUCGACGGCUGGCAGCGGUCCGGCCCCCGGCGCCGUCAGAUGGAACCCAAUCAACGGUCCGCGCGUUUGAAAAUGCUUUUCCAGACAGCGAUGGUAUGCGUUCUCUCUUUUGUUUGUAUGAUAGAAGAGAGGAGAGAGAGAGAGAGAGAGAGAGGGACAAGAAGAAGAAGAAGAGAGAGUUUUAGUGAACUCCCCAGCCUCCGCAACCGGUGCUCCGAGGCUUCGGGGGAGCAAUUCCAUUCCCCCCAAAAUCACUUUUUUUUUCCCCAGCCUUUGCAAAAUUUUCCUUUUUUUUUUGUCCCCGCUGCUUUGCUUUGCUUUGUUUGCUCAAAUCCUCGAGAAGUUCCGCAAAGAAACCCAUUACCGUGGGGGCCAUUUCCCAUUUCUACGCCCUUCUCCUCCUCUUCCUCCGCCUCACUCUACUGCGAUCUUCUCUCUGGUGAUUCUCCGCUGCUUUCGAGUGAUCAUCCGGCUAUUACCGUAAUUCACACCGUCCAAGCCGGGGCUAGAUCAGAGGUCGAGAUUAGCAUCCAAGCUCCUGGUUUUUUUUCUUUCAUCACUGCAUCAUCAUCUCGACAUCAGCAAGACCAGCACCAAAGUUUCCAGCUUACUACUAUUAAGCAGCAGCAGCAGUUUCUUCAUCUCCUCCUUCUUCGUCUUCUUCGUCCCUGGAAAGUUAAGACUGAUCUUGAGAUAUCCUGGAAAGAUAAAAGAGAGUUACCUGGAAGCUAGGGGUCACUGUUUUGAGCUGCUUGAUCUUGUUGCGUUUUUCCUGGCUGUGCUCUGAGCUCUGAUUGAUUCCUGCUCCUCCUCUUUCUUUCUUUUCCUUCUUUUUUCCUUCCUUGCUGGGCACACUGCUGCUAAUGAUGCAGUAGUAGCAGCAGCCGGAGCAGCAUCAGAUCAGUGCUUUGCUGAUUCACUUGCUUAGUCUUGGCUUGAGCACUAAGUCAGUCCGGUUGAGCAGCACCUUGAGUUGAGUGAUUGCAAGAGCUUGAUGAUUAUCUUCUUCGUAAUAAUGCGUUUCUUUGCUUUGCUCUGACCUGGAUUCCAAUCCAAGCUCUCGUCUCGCAUAGCUCUUGCUCCUUCCUCCCGUGGCCUGUGUGAUUUCUUGAGCUCUAAGCCAUUCGAUCUCCCUUCUUUUUGUGCAGUGUUUGAGUUAAGUUGAGCCCAGCAGUACGACUCUUCAGUGAUGUGCCAGCGGAUUAGCGUUUAAAGUCCA